UACGUAGGGUGCAAGCGUUGUCCGGAAUUAUUGGGCGUAAAGAGCUCAUAGGCGGUUUGUCGCGUCGGCUGUGAAAACCUGGGGCUCAACCCCGGGCCUGCAGCCGAUACGGGCAAGCUAGAAUUCGGUAGGGGAGACUGGAAUUCCUGGUGUAGCGGUGAAAUGCGCAGAUAUCAGGAGGAACACCGGUGGCGAAGGCGGGUCUCUGGGCCGAUAUUGACGCUGAGGAGCGAAAGCGUGGGGAGCGAACAGG
RNAcentral lists this ribosomal RNA (253 nucleotides) under uncultured bacterium. Its description in RNAcentral is "partial 16S ribosomal RNA". It matches the Rfam family "Bacterial small subunit ribosomal RNA", at positions 524 to 776 of the family's 1533-position model. The record is from RNAcentral.